CGGUCUGGUGGCGAGUGGCGAACGGGUGAGUAAUGUAUCGGAACGUGCCCAGUAGCGGGGGAUAACUACGCGAAAGCGUAGCUAAUACCGCAUACGCCCUAAGGGGGAAAGCAGGGGAUCGCAAGACCUUGCACUAUUGGAGCGGCCGAUAUCGGAUUAGCUAGUUGGUGAGGUAAUGGCUCACCAAGGCGACGAUCCGUAGCUGGUUUGAGAGGACGACCAGCCACACUGGGACUGAGACACGGCCCAGACUCCUACGGGAGGCAGCAGUGGGGAAUUUUGGACAAUGGGGGAAACCCUGAUCCAGCCAUCCCGCGUGUGCGAUGAAGGCCUUCGGGUUGUAAAGCACUUUUGGCAGGAAAGAAACGGCGCGUGCUAAUACCAUGCGCAACUGACGGUACCUGCAGAAUAAGCACCGGCUAACUACGUGCCAGCAGCCGCGGUAAUACGUAGGGUGCAAGCGUUAAUCGGAAUUACUGGGCGUAAAGCGUGCGCAGGCGGUUCGGAAAGAAAGAUGUGAAAUCCCAGGGCUCAACCUUGGAACUGCAUUUUUAACUACCGGACUAGAGUG
This 571-nucleotide ribosomal RNA is filed under the name Achromobacter xylosoxidans. RNAcentral's name for it is "bacterial SSU rRNA". It matches the Rfam family "Bacterial small subunit ribosomal RNA", at positions 81 to 648 of the family's 1533-position model. The record is from RNAcentral. Lineage: Bacteria; Pseudomonadati; Pseudomonadota; Betaproteobacteria; Burkholderiales; Alcaligenaceae.